This 129-nucleotide unclassified non-coding RNA is filed under the name Homo sapiens (human). Its description in RNAcentral is "AADACL2 antisense RNA 1 (ENSG00000262466.5)". Lineage: Eukaryota; Metazoa; Chordata; Mammalia; Primates; Hominidae. The record is from RNAcentral.
GACACUAUAUCUGGAGCCAGGAAUAAUAGGAUCCGAGAAACAGUAACAAGUAUAAAACAAAGUGGUCUUGAACUCCUGGCCUCAAGUAAUCCUCCCCACUGGGCUUCCCAAAGUGCUGGGACUACAGAG